UCUACGGGGGGCAGCAGUCGGGAAUAUUGCACAAUGGAGGAAACUCUGAUGCAGUGACACCGCGUAUAGGGAGAAGGUUUUCGGAUUGUAAACUAUUUUAGACAGGGAAGAAAAAAGACAGUACCUGUAGAAUAAGCUCAGGCUAACUACGUGCCAGCAGCCGCGGUAAUACGUAGGGGGCAAGCGUUAUCCGGAUUUACUGGGUGUAAAGGGAGCGGAGACGGCCAGACAAGUCAGAAGUGAAAGCCCAGGGCUCAACCCUGGGACUGCUU
RNAcentral lists this ribosomal RNA (272 nucleotides) under uncultured bacterium. RNAcentral's name for it is "partial 16S ribosomal RNA". It matches the Rfam family "Bacterial small subunit ribosomal RNA", at positions 338 to 626 of the family's 1533-position model. The record is from RNAcentral.